Long non-coding RNA from Apis mellifera (honey bee), 2928 nucleotides. RefSeq lists it as uncharacterized. The record is from RefSeq and is a predicted model, not a curated record. The transcript is spliced from 5 exons. Lineage: Eukaryota; Metazoa; Arthropoda; Insecta; Hymenoptera; Apidae.
GGACCACCGCAUGUUUUAACGAUAGUAAUACAUCUGCGACACCUUCCCCGUUCGUGUUGCUUGUUCUUGGCGCGCAUUCUCCUCUGGUGCAACCCCAACUGCAAGGACACUUAAAAAUUACAAACAAGGUUCCCGAGCAUGGGCUGAAGAGACCAGGUGGUAAAGGAUCCAAGUCCAGCGGCGGCAAUGGAAAACCAGCCAUAUCGUCGACCCAAAAACUUGCUCCAAACUCACUAACCACUUGAUUCUGUCCAGAAUUUUGAAUUUGUUGAGUUUGAUCGCCACCGAUGUCUUCUGCAGAAUUCUGCAAAUCUUGUAGACGGAGAGUGCCUUGUAGAGCACCCAAUGUCUCUUCGUUUUGAUUAUCUGUUAAGGUGUCUUCACUGGUUAGAACACCUAAAGAUCCGGUACAGAGACCAGAAGAAAUACUAUGGCUCACCUGUGCCAAGGGUGUACGGCGAUUCGGAGGUGUUCACCGUGUGGUGAUUCUGCAGAAACUCCAUCUCUGCGAAAUUUCUGCUCGUAACCGCCCUUAGAGACAACCCCUUUCCCCGCCUCGAUAAAAUACGCGGACGGAUUGCCUCCUCUCUGUAGAGAUGUGGUCCAGCCCCUCUGGUCUCCCUAGCAACCGCACAUUGCUCCAACUUGAAUGUUGAAUAAGAUAAUAAAAUUUGGAAAAUUAUAUAGUCUGAUUUUGAAGCACAAAGAAGAAGACAUAAUCACACUUUGCACGUUUUCUCUCCCGUUAAACACACUUGGAUCAUUAAGAAGAAUCUAAAGAAAACGGAUUAAACUCACUUAGUAACGUAAGUUAACUUGAAUCACACCAAAUUUUGAAUUUUUAAACUGGAACUAAGAUAUUCUUGAAAUUUCUCUUGAACUUAGGUCAAUUGUUGAGGCAAGAGAAGAGGAAAUUUUAAGGGAUGGCAUCGUAUGCCACUGUCAUGCUGGCACGAUGGCUUGUCAAUGUGUCUUAGCUAACUAGAGAUCUACCACCUACUAUCACCCACUCUCACCCCUUACUCACUGACUACUGCUUCGACCCCACUCCACUACGGGCCGGCCUUUUCGUCGCUCUCUUUUUUCCUUCGUCGUAUUUGCCUUGUUCCACGCACACAUCAUCCUCCUCUUCCACAUGUGCUUACCCCUACCUUAAAUAACGUUAACCUUCCAUGCUUCCACCGUAAGGUGUUUGCUAAAGAGAUUUGCAAGAUUUCAAUUUUGCCUAAAAUUUUGAAUGCGACCAUUUGCUUUCGAUUAUUUUUAAUGGUAUAAUGGAAUAAUAUCGGAGUUGGUGAAAAUUAACCCGUUCAGAGCGAUUUAACAGUGAUUUAAUAGAGAGAAAAGCGAUGGUAAUUCAAAUUUUACAUUUUAAAUAUUGCUAUAUGAUCAGUGAAUAAAUAAGUUAAUCUUUUCUUUAACUUUAUAUAAUACGUUUUACGCGUUAUGGUAUUCAGAAAUUAUAAUUUAUUUCACUUAAAAUUUAUUUCAGAUGAUUUUGUACAGUUUAGUUUGUUUAUAGCAAUUAUGAAUUCUAUAUAGAUUUAUAAAAUUUAUUUUAAUACAAGUUUAUAUUUUACAUAAUCUAUCUAUGGCAAUAUUUUUUCUAGAAUAAUACAAAGACUAUAAUAAUACACGAUUUUAAUAAAAUAGUUUUCUAACGUUCAGAAGAAUAUUCAAUUAAAAAUAUUAAAACUUGAAACGUAGACUUAAAUCUAUAAUUAAUUCUUCAAAAGAACAAAUACAUAAAAUCCAUGUAAGAUCUUGAUUAGAUGCUUAUCAUGUAUUUAUAUACAACAUGCUUAAACAUUUAUUAUAAAAAAAUAAAUCCACCUUCAAAACUAGUUAAAACAAUAAUCAAAAAAAUCAUUGGAACACCGAUAUUUUCAAUAAUACAGAAUAUGGAUGUAAAAGAGACCAGAAAUGGAUCCAGAAAUCACAUCCAUUCACCGCAAGGAUCAAAAGAAGGGGAAAAAGAAAAUCAUCCAUUCAAAACAUAUCACACUCCCCGCUCGUAUCUAUUACAAUGUAUAAAAGGAUGCAGCAUAGUUUGGAAGGAAUGGCGGAUCAGGAGGACGCAAGAGAACGGUUUGAACGAUAUAUAUCCAUGUCCACGGGCGUGUAAGACUCGAGACGUUGGGAUACACGGGUUGGCCGUCGUCGAUGCCGACGACACGAGAUACUAAUCGUUCAUUCGGCGAUCGGUGAUCGGGGGCCUUCUUCGAGUCUGGCUCACCGAUAUCCCCCGUGUUGCCAGGGCGGGACGGGGAAGUAGGAUAUUAUUUUCUUCAGAUACCAUUACCACGCCGAUCAUGGUGGUCCUGCCUUGCAGACGAGUGGCCCCGAUACCCUCGAGAUCACUGGCUUGUAAUGCCUUCCCUUUCGUGGAUUAUUGACCAGUGAACGGUGAGCCCGGCUGCGAAACACUCCAACGCUACCUAUUCCACUUGCGACCCUCAACCACCCUUUUCGAACGGCCUCGCGCUCUCCUCCUCACUCCUCCUGACUGGAAAUGCCUCUUCCCAUUUGUUGCGUUUCCUCUUGUGCUGGAAUUUUUCCAUGGCAAACGGUAAGCUUAAGUUCUUCGUGAUUCUCUGCAGUAAGUACCCAUGGUUUUCCUAUGGUUGCUAAAAAUAUCACAUUAUAUUACUCAUUGAAAAAGAUAGGAUUCUAGAGAAAACGAAUUUGAACGAUUUUGAAUCGUUGUGAGAAUAUAAAAGUAUUUGUAAAUUUUCAUCAGUUGCAAGAAGUCAAAGUCGUUCCUCGAAUAGUAUGAUUUUAUAUGAAGAGUAUCUAUUUUUUAUAAUUGAAUUGUGUUAGAAAUAAUUAUAUAAUAUACUGUCUACUUAAAAAUAAAUAAUGAGAACAAUAAAGUAAAUUAUAUAAUGAAUAACAAGUUAGAUCUCGUUAUACUAUGUUUUAAUUAAA